CACAGUCCUCUAUAUGCCGUUUCAAAUACCAUUCUGUACCAUAGGAGUUACUACAUUUAUCACAUUUGUGCUUCUUUUCAGCAUGCAUCUUCAUAAAGUGCUGUUUUACAAGAGAAAAUUGGGAAAAUGGUCUGUUUGGUCCUCUGGGGCAGCCUUCAAUAGGACAGCAGUAGAAUUUCUGUGGAGUUUUCAAACCCUUCCUUAUUGGUGCAUUAAAUUUUCCAUCCUGGAGCCGGUGGGCCUUGCUGAGGUGCAUGUUGAGGGCCGGGCUGUUGGGCAGCACCUUGCCGCAGCCCGGCACGGUGCACAGGAUGUUGGUCCUCACUUGAGACAGCUCCGUCACCGAGGGCCGCACCAGCUCGCGGGCGGGCGGCGGGUCCCCCGCGGGUGGCUGCCCCAGGCCCCCGCCGCGCCGCCCCGCCGCCGCCAUGUUGCUGUCAGGUG
Molecule: long non-coding RNA, 444 nt
Filed under: Gallus gallus (chicken)
Lineage: Eukaryota; Metazoa; Chordata; Aves; Galliformes; Phasianidae
Source: RNAcentral